CAGGCUUAACACAUGCAAGUCGAGGGGCAGCAUGGUCUUAGCUUGCUAAGGCCGAUGGCGACCGGCGCACGGGUGAGUAACACGUAUCCAACCUGCCGUCUACUCUUGGACAGCCUUCUGAAAGGAAGAUUAAUACAAGAUGGCAUCAUGAGUCCGCAUGUUCACAUGAUUAAAGGUAUUCCGGUAGACGAUGGGGAUGCGUUCCAUUAGAUAGUAGGCGGGGUAACGGCCCACCUAGUCUUCGAUGGAUAGGGGUUCUGAGGGGAAGGUCCCCCACAUUGGAACUGAGACACGGUCCAAACUCCUAUGGGAGGCAGCAGUGAGGAAUAUUGGUCAAUGGGCGAGAGCCUGAACCAGCCAAGUAGCGUGAAGGAUGACUGCCCUAUGGGUUGUAAACUUCUUUUAUAAAGGAAUAAAGUCGGGUAUGCAUACCCGUUUGCAUGUACUUUAUGAAUAAGGAUCGGCUAACUCCGUGCCAGCAGCCGCGGUAAUACGGAGGAUCCGAGCGUUAUCCGGAUCUAUUGGGUUUAAAGGGAGCGUAGAUGGAUGUUUAAGUCAGUUGUGAAAGUUUGCGGCUCAACCGUAAAAUUGCAGUUGAUACUGGAUAUCUUGAGUGCAGUUGAGGCAGGCGGAAUUCGUGGUGUAGCGGUGAAAUGCUUAGAUAUCACGAAGAACUCCGAUUGCGAAGGCAGCCUGCUAAGCUGCAACUGACAUUGAGGCUCGAAAGUGUGGGUAUCAAACAGGAUUAGAUACCCUGGUAGUCCACACGGUAAACGAUGAAUACUCGCUGUUUGCGAUAUACGGCAAGCGGCCAAGCGAAAGCGUUAAGUAUUCCACCUGGGGAGUACGCCGGCAACGGUGAAACUCAAAGGAAUUGACGGGGGCCCGCACAAGCGGAGGAACAUGUGGUUUAAUUCGAUGAUACGCGAGGAACCUUACCCGGGCUUAAAUUGCAGAUGAAUUACGGUGAAAGCCGUAAGCCGCAAGGCAUCUGUGAAGGUGCUGCAUGGUUGUCGUCAGCUCGUGCCGUGAGGUGUCGGCUUAAGUGCCAUAACGAGCGCAACCCUUGUUGUCAGUUACUAACAGGUUCCGCUGAGGACUCUGACAAGACUGCCAUCGUAAGAUGUGAGGAAGGUGGGGAUGACGUCAAAUCAGCACGGCCCUUACGUCCGGGGCUACACACGUGUUACAAUGGGGGGUACAGAGGGCCGCUACCACGCGAGUGGAUGCCAAUCCCCAAAACCUCUCUCAGUUCGGACUGGAGUCUGCAACCCGACUCCACGAAGCUGGAUUCGCUAGUAAUCGCGCAUCAGCCACGGCGCGGUGAAUACGUUCCCGGGCCUUGUACACACCGCCCGUCAAGCCAUGGGAGCCGGGGGUACCUGAAGUGCGUAACCGCGAGGAGCGCCCUAGGGUAAAACUGGUGACUGGGGC
RNAcentral lists this ribosomal RNA (1434 nucleotides) under uncultured organism. RNAcentral's name for it is "16S ribosomal RNA". It matches the Rfam family "Bacterial small subunit ribosomal RNA". The record is from RNAcentral.